RNAcentral lists this ribosomal RNA (477 nucleotides) under uncultured bacterium. Its description in RNAcentral is "partial 16S ribosomal RNA". It matches the Rfam family "Bacterial small subunit ribosomal RNA", at positions 30 to 507 of the family's 1533-position model. The record is from RNAcentral.
AUGAACGCUGGCGGCGUGCUUAACACAUGCAAGUCGAACGAGAAGUGGAGACGGAAACCUUCGGGCGGAAGACUUUACUUCGAGUGGCGGACGGGUGAGUAACGCGUGGGUAACCUGCCUCAUACAGGGGGAUAACAGUUGGAAACGACUGUUAAUACCGCAUAAGACCACAGCACCGCAUGGUGCGGGGGUAAAAACUCCGGUGGUAUGAGAUGGACCCGCGUUCGAUUAGCCAGUUGGCGGGGUAACGGCCCACCAAAGCGACGAUCGAUAGCCGAUCUGAGAGGAGGAGAGGCCAGAUUGGGGAUGAGACACGGACCAAACUCCGACGGGAGGAAGCAGUGGGGAAUAUUGCAAGAUGGGGGAAACCCUGAUGACGCGACGCCGCGGGAGUGAAGAAGUAUUGAGGUAUGUAAAGCUCUAUCAGCAGGGAAGAAAAUGGCAGUACCUGAGUAAGAAGCCCCGGCUAACUACGUG